UAGGGAAUCUUCCACAAUGGGCGAAAGCCUGAUGGAGCAACGCCGCGUGUGUGAUGAAGGCUUUCGGGUCGUAAGCACUGUUGUAUGGGAAGAACAACUAGAAUAGGAAAUGAUUUUAGUUUGACGGUACCAUACCAGAAAGGGACGGCUAAAUACGUGCCAG
This 163-nucleotide ribosomal RNA is filed under the name uncultured bacterium. RNAcentral describes it as "partial 16S ribosomal RNA". It matches the Rfam family "Bacterial small subunit ribosomal RNA", at positions 355 to 511 of the family's 1533-position model. The record is from RNAcentral.